RNAcentral lists this ribosomal RNA (669 nucleotides) under Desulfopila sp. PR5_F08. RNAcentral's name for it is "bacterial SSU rRNA". It matches the Rfam family "Bacterial small subunit ribosomal RNA", at positions 104 to 763 of the family's 1533-position model. Lineage: Bacteria; Pseudomonadati; Thermodesulfobacteriota; Desulfobulbia; Desulfobulbales; Desulfocapsaceae. The record is from RNAcentral.
GGGUGAGUAACGCGUAAGUAAUCUACCCUGGCAUCUGGAAUAACCCACCGAAAGGUGUGCUAAUACCGGAUACGCUGAUUUAUCAGGAAAGGUGGCCUCUUCAUGAAAGCUACUGUGCCGGGAGGAGCUUGCGUACCAUUAGCUAGUUGGUGGGGUAAUGGCCUACCAAGGCAACGAUGGUUAGCGGGUCUGAGAGGAUGAUCCGCCACACUGGAACUGGAACACGGACCAGACUCCUACGGGAGGCAGCAGUGAGGAAUAUUGCGCAAUGGGGGCAACCCUGACGCAGCGACGCCGCGUGGAUGAUGAAGGCCUUCGGGUCGUAAAAUCCUGUCAGAUGGAAAGAAAUGCCAGAUGUCUAAUAUAUGUCUGGUUUGACGGUACCAUCAAAGGAAGCACCGGCUAACUCCGUGCCAGCAGCCGCGGUAAUACGGAGGGUGCAAGCGUUGUUCGGAAUUACUGGGCGUAAAGCGCGCGUAGGCGGCUAUUUAAGUCAGAUGUGAAAGUCCACGGCUCAACCGUGGAAGUGCAUUUGAUACUGGGUAGCUUGAGUACUGGAGGGGAUGGUGGAAUUCCCGGUGUAGAGGUGAAAUUCGUAGAUAUCGGGAGGAAUACCGGUGGCGAAGGCGACCAUCUGGCCAGAUACUGACGCUGAGGUGCGAAAGCGUG